CCUACGGGUGGCAGCAGUGGGGGAUAUUGCACAAUGGGGGGAACCCUGAUGCAGCGACGCCGCGUGGGUGAAGGAGUGCUUCGGCAUGUAAAGCCCUAUCGGCAGGGAAGAAGCAAGACGGUACCUGACUAAGAAGCCCCGGCUAACUACGUGCCAGCAGCCGCGGUAAUACGGAGGAUGCGAGCGUUAUCCGGAUUUAUUGGGUUUAAAGGGUGCGCAGGCGGCCUGUUAAGUCAGCGGUAAAAGCCCGGGGCUCAACCCCGGCGAGCCGUUGAAACUGGCGGGCUGGAGUUGGAGAGAAGUACGCGGAAUGCGCGGUGUAGCGGUGAAAUGCUUAGAUAUCGCGCAGAACCCCGAUUGCGAAGGCAGCGUACCGGCUCCACACUGACGCUGAGGCACGAAAGCGUGGGUAUCGAACAGGAUUAGAUACCCGGGUAGUC
This 440-nucleotide ribosomal RNA is filed under the name uncultured bacterium. RNAcentral describes it as "partial 16S ribosomal RNA". It matches the Rfam family "Bacterial small subunit ribosomal RNA", at positions 338 to 795 of the family's 1533-position model. The record is from RNAcentral.